RNAcentral lists this ribosomal RNA (440 nucleotides) under uncultured bacterium. RNAcentral's name for it is "partial 16S ribosomal RNA". It matches the Rfam family "Bacterial small subunit ribosomal RNA", at positions 338 to 795 of the family's 1533-position model. The record is from RNAcentral.
CCUACGGGGGGCAGCAGUGGGGAAUAUUGCACAAUGGGGGAAACCCUGAUGCAGCGACGCCGCGUGAGUGAAGAAGUAAUUCGUUACGUAAACCUCUAUCAGCAGGGAAGAACAUGACGCUAUCUCUGUUAGAUGCCCCGGCUAACUCUGUGCCAGCAGCCGCGGUAAUACGUAGGGGUCAAGCGUUAUCCGGAUUUACUGGGUGUAAAGGGAGCGUAGACGGUGGGCCAAGUCUGAAGUGAAAUGCCGCAGCUUAACUGCGGAACUGCAUUGGAAACUGGCGAACUAGAGUGCGGGAGGGGUAAGCGGAAUUCCUAGUGUAGCGGUGAAAUGCGUAGAUAUUAGGAGGAACACCAGUGGCGAAGGCGGCUUACUGGACAGUAACUGACGUUGAGGCGCGAAAGCGUGGGGAGCAAACAGGAUUAGAUACCCGAGUAGUC